GUACGGAGGGGGUUAGCGUUGUUCGGAAUUACUGGGCGUAAAGCGCACGUAGGCGGAUUGGAAAGUUGGGGGUGAAAUCCCAGGGCUCAACCCUGGAACUGCCUCCAAAACUAACAGUCUAGAGUUCGAGAGAGGUGAGUGGAAUUCCAAGUGUAGAGGUGAAAUUCGUAGAUAUUUGGAGGAACACCAGUGGCGAAGGCGGCUCACUGGCUCGAUACUGACGCUGAGGUGCGAAAGCGUGGGGAGCGAACAGGAUUAGAAACCCCAGUAGUCC
RNAcentral lists this ribosomal RNA (274 nucleotides) under uncultured bacterium. Its description in RNAcentral is "partial 16S ribosomal RNA". It matches the Rfam family "Bacterial small subunit ribosomal RNA", at positions 523 to 796 of the family's 1533-position model. The record is from RNAcentral.